Molecule: ribosomal RNA, 207 nt
Filed under: uncultured bacterium
Lineage: Bacteria
Description: partial 16S ribosomal RNA
Rfam family: Bacterial small subunit ribosomal RNA
Source: RNAcentral
CGUGUAGGCGGGCAAUCAAGUCAGAUGUAAAAGGCGACGGCUUAACCGUAGUAUGUCAUCUGAUACUGGUUGUCUUGAGUUCGGGAGAGGGUGGUGGAAUUCCCGGUGUAGCGGUGAAAUGCGUAGAUAUCGGGAAGAACACCAGAAGCGAAGGCGGCCACCUGGAUCGACACUGACGCUGAGACGCGAAAGCGUGGGUAGCAAACA